GACGAACGCUGGCGGCGUGCUUAACACAUGCAAGUCGAACGGGUCUGCCCUGUUUUUUGCGGGGUGGGUCAGUGGCGAACGGGGGAGUAACACGUGAGUAACCUGCCCCUCACUUCUGGAUAACCGCUUGAAAGGGUGGCUAAUACGGGGUGUUCUGGCUGUGCCGCAUGGUGUGGCUGGGAAAGAUUCACUUUUGUGGUGUUUUGGUGGGGGAUGGGCUCGCGGCCUAUCAGCUUGUUGGUGGGGUGAUGGCCUGCCAAGGCUUUGACGGGUAGCCGGCCUGGGAGGGUGGGCGGUCACGCUGGGGCUGAGCUACGGCCCAGCCUCCUGCAGGCGGCAGCAGUGGGGGGUAUUGCACAAUGGGCGGCAGCCUGAUGCAGCGACGUCGCGUGAGGGAUGGAGGCCUUCGGGUUGUGAACCUCUUUCGCCGGUGAAGAAGGUCCUGCUCUUUGUGGUGGGGUUGACGGUAGCCGAGUUAUGAAGCGCCGGCUAACUACGUG
This 500-nucleotide ribosomal RNA is filed under the name uncultured bacterium. RNAcentral's name for it is "partial 16S ribosomal RNA". It matches the Rfam family "Bacterial small subunit ribosomal RNA", at positions 28 to 507 of the family's 1533-position model. The record is from RNAcentral.